This 459-nucleotide ribosomal RNA is filed under the name uncultured Bacillus sp. RNAcentral describes it as "partial 16S ribosomal RNA". It matches the Rfam family "Bacterial small subunit ribosomal RNA", at positions 341 to 792 of the family's 1533-position model. Lineage: Bacteria; Bacillati; Bacillota; Bacilli; Caryophanales; Bacillaceae. The record is from RNAcentral.
ACGGGAGGCAGCAGUAGGGAAUCUUCCACAAUGGACGAAAGUCUGAUGGAGCAACGCCGCGUGAGCGAUGAAGGCCUUCGGGUCGUAAAGCUCUGUUGUUAGGGAAGAACAAGUGCGAGAGUAACUGCUCGCACCUUGACGGUACCUAACCAGAAAGCCACGGCUAACUACGUGCCAGCAGCCGCGGUAAUACGUAGGUGGCAAGCGUUGUCCGGAAUUAUUGGGCGUAAAGCGCGCGCAGGCGGUUUCUUAAGUCUGAUGUGAAAGCCCACGGCUCAACCGUGGAGGGUCAUUGGAAACUGGGAGACUUGAGUGCAGAAGAGGAGAGUGGAAUUCCACGUGUAGCGGUGAAAUGCGUAGAGAUGUGGAGGAACACCAGUGGCGAAGGCGACUCUCUGGUCUGUAACUGACGCUGAGGCGCGAAAGCGUGGGGAGCAAACAGGAUUAGAUACCCUGGUA